This 152-nucleotide unclassified non-coding RNA is filed under the name Colletotrichum acutatum. RNAcentral describes it as "ITS2". Lineage: Eukaryota; Fungi; Ascomycota; Sordariomycetes; Glomerellales; Glomerellaceae. The record is from RNAcentral.
CAACCCUCAAGCACCGCUUGGUUUUGGGGCCCCACGGCACACGUGGGCCCUUAAAGGUAGUGGCGGACCCUCCCGGAGCCUCCUUUGCGUAGUAACUAACGUCUCGCACUGGGAUCCGGAGGGACUCUUGCCGUAAAACCCCCCAAUUUUUU